This is a long non-coding RNA of Corythoichthys intestinalis (scribbled pipefish), 234 nucleotides long. RefSeq lists it as uncharacterized. The transcript is spliced from 6 exons. The record is from RefSeq and is a predicted model, not a curated record. NCBI's taxonomy places the organism in Eukaryota, Metazoa, Chordata, Actinopteri, Syngnathiformes, Syngnathidae.
AGGAUUGACGCCAACAUUCCUGAGCGCCGUUUGACAGGAGGCCACUGUCAAGCUGUCCGCUUCUGAUCACAGCACGUGUCGAAGAGCUACAAUGUCCAAGCCAUGAGAACGACGUCCACUGGGCCACCCAAAGCUGCAUUCAAGAGAGCAGAACUCAUGUCCUGGCCGGAGUGGAAAAAGACAGAGUUGCUCGUCGACGUCCUUCAAGCCCAAAAGCUAAAAAAAAAAAAUGGC